GACGAACGCUGGCGGCGUGCUUAACACAUGCAAGUCGAACGGAAAGGCUCCAGCUUUCUGGAGUACUCGAGUGGCGAACGGGUGAGUAACACGUGUGUAAUCUGCCCUUCUCUCUGGGAUAUGCCUUGGAAACUGGGUCUCUUACUGGAUAUGACCUUUCUCCUUAUGUGGUUUGGUGGUAAGUUUUUCGGUUUAUGAUGGGUCCGCGGCCUAUCAGCUUGUUGGUGGGGUGAUGGAAUACCAAGGCUACGACGGGUAGCCGACCUGAGAGGGUGAUCGGCGACAAGGGGACUGAGGGAGGGCGCAGACGGCAACGGGAGGCAGCAGUGGGGAAUAUGGCACAAUGGGAGGAAGCGUGAGGCAGAGACGCAGCGUGAGGGAUGACGGCCUUCGGGGUGUAAACAAAUUUCAGAAGGGACGAAGAGUAAGUGACGGUACCUGCAGAAGAAGCACCGGCUAACUACGUG
Molecule: ribosomal RNA, 467 nt
Filed under: uncultured bacterium
Lineage: Bacteria
Description: partial 16S ribosomal RNA
Rfam family: Bacterial small subunit ribosomal RNA
Source: RNAcentral